Molecule: long non-coding RNA, 474 nt
Organism: Herpailurus yagouaroundi (jaguarundi)
Lineage: Eukaryota; Metazoa; Chordata; Mammalia; Carnivora; Felidae
Exons: 3
Source: RefSeq, a predicted model, not a curated record
UUUUUUUUGCUACCAGCACGGCUGAAUGAACACCAACAAAUCUCUUUGCAGAAGUUAGGGCAACGUCGAGGAUCUGCCACAACAUGUCCUUCCAACUCCUGGGCACCAGGAAAAUCCUAACCACUAUUUGGGGCACUUGGACGGUCUUCAACUUCACUUUGAAAGAAUAAUCAGAAUUGCUAUCAUUUUUAUAGAGGAUUCUAAUGGCAGUUCUGUGGAACUAGAUGAACCAGGGUGGAAAAAAAGGUCAUUUUGCUGCCAGCUGGGUGACAUGAGGGCCAAAACUCUGGAUUUCUGAGCAGCACAAUGAGCUGGCAAGUGAGCUCUUUUAAAGACCCAAUUCAAUCAAUAAGCAAUCAAUAAGAACUUGAAUAUACUUGCCUCAAGAAGUGCUGGAGAAAGCCUUCCAAAGCUGAAGAGAACCGGAACUAAGCCAAAGAUUCAUAUUGCUACAAUAAGUAGUCAAAUAUUCUA